AUGAUCGUCGCGGGAGAGUCCGCUGCGCCGAAACGGCUGGCAGUGGCGCCGAAGGAGCAACCGCCCCCGGAACCUCUCAGGCACCCAGGACCGCGAUCGUUCC
This 103-nucleotide non-coding RNA is filed under the name Pararhodospirillum photometricum. RNAcentral describes it as "Rhodospirillum photometricum Glycine sequence". It matches the Rfam family "Glycine riboswitch aptamer". Rfam says of the family: This family represents the bacterial glycine riboswitch. RNAcentral also lists the same sequence under 1 other name. The record is from RNAcentral. Lineage: Bacteria; Pseudomonadati; Pseudomonadota; Alphaproteobacteria; Rhodospirillales; Rhodospirillaceae.